CCUGCCUGCAGAUAGGAGCUAUCCACUGCAGGUCUCCUCUCUGCUGAGAGCUGGACACUCGUUGGAAUGACCUACAGAAGG
This 81-nucleotide microRNA precursor is filed under the name Chlorocebus sabaeus (green monkey). Its description in RNAcentral is "miRNA (ENSCSAG00000019994.1)". Lineage: Eukaryota; Metazoa; Chordata; Mammalia; Primates; Cercopithecidae. The record is from RNAcentral.